GACGAACGCUGGCGGCGUGCUUAACACAUGCCAGUCGAACGGUGUAGCACCUUCCUUUUGGUGGGCGUGGGUGAGUGGCGUACGGGAGAGUAACACGUGAGUACCCUGCUCCCUUCUUCCGGAUAACCGCAUUAACUUAUGGCUAAUACGCGCUAUUCUGGGUCUGUCGCUUGGCGGGCCUUGGGAAGGUAUUGUUUCGGGUGGGUGUGGGGUCGCUGUCUAUCCGCUUGUUGGUGGGGUGAUUGCCUACCAAGGCGGGGACGGGGAGCCGGCCUGCGAGGGUGGACGGUCGCACUGGGACUGAGACACGGCCCAGAAUGCAACGAGAGACAGCAGUGGGGAAUACUGCACGAUGGGCGAGAGCCUGAUGCAGCGACGGGGCAGGAGGGAUGGAGGCCUUCGGGUUGUAAACCUCUUGCGUCAGUGAAGCAGGGCUGUCCCUACUGUGGGGGGGUUGACGGUAGCUGGAUAAGAAGCGCCGGCUAACUACGUG
Molecule: ribosomal RNA, 493 nt
Filed under: uncultured bacterium
Lineage: Bacteria
Description: partial 16S ribosomal RNA
Rfam family: Bacterial small subunit ribosomal RNA
Source: RNAcentral